Long non-coding RNA from Anguilla rostrata (American eel), 292 nucleotides. RefSeq lists it as uncharacterized. Lineage: Eukaryota; Metazoa; Chordata; Actinopteri; Anguilliformes; Anguillidae. The record is from RefSeq and is a predicted model, not a curated record. The transcript has 3 exons.
GCCACACGAUCGUGUGGUUCAUGUUCCAGAGAAAUCCGCGCUGUCAACCUGUUUUAAUGGUUUUCAGCGGGACAGACAGCCAGCAGUACUAUAUUUACAGCAAUUUUCGACAAUGGCAUCCAAAGACGCGCUUCCCAAAGUGAAAAGAGAACGUCUUGAAAGCCAGCAGGCUGAAGACCUGGCCACAGGUGGAGACAGAGAGAAGACAGAGGCAAAGAGUGCAAAGGCAAGAUUAAGAUUUGACUUUUUUAGAGCAGAGAUGCUGUGGAAAUUUAAUUUGUCACUGCAAUUA